RNAcentral lists this long non-coding RNA (204 nucleotides) under Nicotiana benthamiana. Its description in RNAcentral is "long non-coding RNA (NBEN_LNC041434)". Lineage: Eukaryota; Viridiplantae; Streptophyta; Magnoliopsida; Solanales; Solanaceae. The record is from RNAcentral.
CUGUAUUGAGCCUCCAAAGUCAAAUGCACGUGAUGCAAAUAAAAGUUCCUACUAAGGACCCGACAUUAGGUUUUGAUAUACUAGGUUUGAAACUUGGGUUUAUUGUUCUAGACCUAGCUUACCCGAGAGGACAGCUCCAUCUGGAGGGGGUAGCAUACUGGGAAUACAGAAGCUUCACCGGCUUUGCAACUUAUUCGAACCUCG